This 253-nucleotide ribosomal RNA is filed under the name uncultured bacterium. RNAcentral's name for it is "partial 16S ribosomal RNA". It matches the Rfam family "Bacterial small subunit ribosomal RNA", at positions 524 to 776 of the family's 1533-position model. The record is from RNAcentral.
UACAGAGGUCUCAAGCGUUGUUCGGAUUCAUUGGGCGUAAAGGGUGCGUAGGCGGCGUGGUAAGUCGGGUGUGAAAUCUCGGAGCUUAACUCCGAAACUGCAUUCGAUACUGCCGUGCUUGAGGACUGGAGAGGAGACUGGAAUUUACGGUGUAGCGGUGAAAUGCGUAGAUAUCUGGAGGAACACCGGUGGCGAAGGCGGCAUCCUGGACCAACACUGACGCUGAGGAGCGAAAGCCAGGGGAGCAAACGGG